CCUGUCAUUACCCCUCGGCUCGCCUCCUUCCGGUCUUCCCGACCUCUCUCGCUCCUUUGGAAGGAGCAACGGUGCCCCUGCUGGACCGUAGAGUUACUCGCAAGCAUGAAUGAGGCAGAGAAAGAACCAACAGAGGGUGAGGACUAGAAAUCAAAACAUGGAGUUCCUUCAUUUGGUUGCAAGGAAAGGAAGGCAGAGUUGAAGAAGAAGAAGAAGAAGAAGAAGACCAUGAGGACCAUCUCCCCAUCGCCAAGUACUAAUGGUGUCAAAAGGUAUCAGAUCGGGUGCUAAAUCUUGCGUCGCAGAAGAACAGGAAUGGCACCAUGGCCCUAUGUGUCUCCCUAAAGCUUUGACUGAUGACAUGGAGCUUCAUGUUCUUCCAUUAUCUAGGAUUUGAAUUAAGAAUGUGAUCCUACUUUAUUUCCCCUCCUUUUUCCCUAAACCCACAACAUUUUGUCCCCCCCUCCCUCAUCAAAUCUUCCACAGUGUUCUGCCGACAAUACUCUCAUCAUCGGGAGUCUUCCAUCCAUUGAUGGCAACUCUCACUUUUGUGUUUCCAUUGAUCAGCUCCUGAAGCCUCAUGAACCUGUGUUUGAUGAUGAAAGAAUCAUCCAUGUUCAGCUGAACAUAAGCCAAAAUACUAAACGAUUGUGCUGAUGGAAGUAGGCAAAAUCAUUUCCAUUUCAUUGUUCA
This is a long non-coding RNA of Musa acuminata AAA Group (dessert banana), 693 nucleotides long. RefSeq lists it as uncharacterized. The record is from RefSeq and is a predicted model, not a curated record. The transcript is spliced from 2 exons. NCBI's taxonomy places the organism in Eukaryota, Viridiplantae, Streptophyta, Magnoliopsida, Zingiberales, Musaceae.